RNAcentral lists this ribosomal RNA (496 nucleotides) under uncultured bacterium. RNAcentral describes it as "partial 16S ribosomal RNA". It matches the Rfam family "Bacterial small subunit ribosomal RNA", at positions 28 to 506 of the family's 1533-position model. The record is from RNAcentral.
GAUGAACGCUGGCGGCGUGCCUAAUACAUGCAAGUCGAGCGAACGGACGAGAAGCUUGCUUCUCUGAUGUUAGCGGCGGACGGGUGAGUAACACGUGGAUAACCUACCUAUAAGACUGGGAUAACUUCGGGAAACCGUAGCUAAUACCGGAUAAUAUUUUGAACCGCAUGGUUCAAAAGUGAAAGACGGUCUUGCUGUCACUUAUAGAUGGAUCCGCGCUGCAUUAGCUAGUUGGUAAGGUAACGGCUUACCAAGGCAACGAUGCAUAGCCGACCUGAGAGGGUGAUCGGCCACACUGGAACUGAGACACGGUCCAGACUCCUACGGGAGGCAGCAGUAGGGAAUCUUCCGCAAUGGGCGAAAGCCUGACGGAGCAACGCCGCGUGAGUGAUGAAGGUCUGCGGAUCGUAAAACUCUGUUAUUAGGGAAGAACAUAUGUGUAAGUAACUGUGCACAUCUGGACGGUACCUAAGCAGAAAGCCACGGCUAACUACGG